AUGCACGCUGGCGGCGUGCCUAAUACAUGCCAGUCGAGCGAACGGACGAGAAGCUUGCUUCUCUGAUGUUAGCGGCGGACGGGUGAGUAACACGUGGAUAACCUACCUAUAAGACUGGGAUAACUUCGGGAAACCGGAGCUAAUACCGGAUAAUAUUUUGAACCGCAUGGUUCAAAAGUAAAAGACGGUCUUGCUGUCACUUAUAGAUGGAUCCGCGCUGCAUUAGCUAGUUGGUAAGGUAACGGCUUACCAAGGCAACGAUGCAUAGCCGACCUGAGAGGGUGAUCGGCCACACUGGAACUGAGACACGGUCCAGACUCCUACGGGAGGCAGCAGUAGGGAAUCUUCCGCAAUGGGCGAAAGCCUGACGGAGCAACGCCGCGUGAGUGAUGAAGGUCUUCGGAUCGUAAAACUCUGUUAUUAGGGAAGAACAUAUGUGUAAGUAACUGUGCACAUCUUGACGGUACCUAAUCAGAAAGCCACGGCUAACUACGUG
This 496-nucleotide ribosomal RNA is filed under the name uncultured bacterium. RNAcentral's name for it is "partial 16S ribosomal RNA". It matches the Rfam family "Bacterial small subunit ribosomal RNA", at positions 29 to 507 of the family's 1533-position model. The record is from RNAcentral.